RNAcentral lists this ribosomal RNA (428 nucleotides) under Bacteroidota bacterium. RNAcentral's name for it is "Bacteroidetes bacterium partial 16S ribosomal RNA". It matches the Rfam family "Bacterial small subunit ribosomal RNA", at positions 355 to 776 of the family's 1533-position model. The record is from RNAcentral. Lineage: Bacteria; Pseudomonadati; Bacteroidota.
UAGGGAAUCUUCCGCAAUGGACGCAAGUCUGACGGAGCAACGCCGCGUGAGUGAAGAAGGAUUUCGGUUCGUAAAACUCUGUUGUUAGAGAAGAACAGCGCAUAGAGUAACUGUUAUGCGUGUGACGGUAUCUAACCAGAAAGCCACGGCUAACUACGUGCCAGCAGCCGCGGUAAUACGUAGGUGGCAAGCGUUGUCCGGAUUUAUUGGGCGUAAAGCGAGCGCAGGCGGUUAGAUAAGUCUGAAGUUAAAGGCAGUGGCUCAACCAUUGUAGGCUUUGGAAACUGUUUAACUUGAGUGCAGAAGGGGAGAGUGGAAUUCCAUGCGUAGCGGUGAAAUGCGUAGAUAUAUGGAGGAACACCGGUGGCGAAAGCGGCUCUCUGGUCUGUAACUGACGCUGAGGCUCGAAAGCGUGGGGAGCGAACAGG